RNAcentral lists this ribosomal RNA (735 nucleotides) under uncultured Pseudomonadota bacterium. Its description in RNAcentral is "bacterial SSU rRNA". It matches the Rfam family "Bacterial small subunit ribosomal RNA", at positions 28 to 752 of the family's 1533-position model. Lineage: Bacteria; Pseudomonadati; Pseudomonadota. The record is from RNAcentral.
AUUGAACGCUGGCGGCAGGCCUAACACAUGCAAGUCGAAUGGUAACAGGAAACAGCUUGCUGUUUCGCUGACGAGUGGCGGACGGGUGAGUAAUGUCUGGGAAACUGCCUGAUGGAGGGGGAUAACUACUGGAAACGGUAGCUAAUACCGCAUAACGUCGCAAGACCAAAGAGGGGGACCUUCGGGCCUCUUGCCAUCAGAUGUGCCCAGAUGGGAUUAGCUAGUAGGUGGGGUAACGGCUCACCUAGGCGACGAUCCCUAGCUGGUCUGAGAGGAUGACCAGCCACACUGGAACUGAGACACGGUCCAGACUCCUACGGGAGGCAGCAGUGGGGAAUAUUGCACAAUGGGCGCAAGCCUGAUGCAGCCAUGCCGCGUGUAUGAAGAAGGCCUUCGGGUUGUAAAGUACUUUCAGCGGGGAGGAAGGGAGUAAAGUUAAUACCUUUGCUCAUUGACGUUACCCGCAGAAGAAGCACCGGCUAACUCCGUGCCAGCAGCCGCGGUAAUACGGAGGGUGCAAGCGUUAAUCGGAAUUACUGGGCGUAAAGCGCACGCAGGCGGUUUGUUAAGUCAGAUGUGAAAUCCCCGGGCUCAACCUGGGAACUGCAUCUGAUACUGGCAAGCUUGAGUCUCGUAGAGGGGGGUAGAAUUCCAGGUGUAGCGGUGAAAUGCGUAGAGAUCUGGAGGAAUACCGGUGGCGAAGGCGGCCCCCUGGACGAAGACUGACGCUCAGGU